CAGCAGUGGAGCACUUUCAGACGGUAGAUGGCAGCCUGUAAUAAUGGUUCGGAUCUCUCGGUAGUAAGGUGAGGGACAACACAAAGUUAUCCGAGAAUGUUUUUAUUUUUUCAAAGAAGUUCAAUACAUCACAAACUAUGUUCUUUUUAAUUUACCUAUAUGAGGUAAAUUAAUCUUGUAGCCUACUUCAAUCUUGUCAUGUCAAACUAAGUGAAAUAAUUCGGUUUACAGUGAUAAAUAUGCAUUCAAAAUCUCUUUGGCCUAAAAAUGUGCCAAACUGAAUUUUAAAUCAAUUAAUUUAAUUUAAAGAGCAAUUCUUAAUAUAAAAUAUACACUUAAUAUAAAAAAUACAGUCAAAAGAAAAAUGACAUGAUGUUCAUGGGGUAAAUUGAUUAUAAUUAUUUUAUUUUUUGCUUUAGCCACUUGGUGGAGAACUUUACUCAUGGGACACACUGGUUAAAGUCAAGAUUUUCGUUAGAUAUUUUUGUGAUUUUCCAUUUAGGUAGCCUAUUCGACCGUUAAAAUACUGAAUACGUUUAUGCUUCGGUGACAUCAUUUUUAUUGCUUGAACUGCAUUUCCACCAGAAUACCUAAUAUCUAUGGCAGUUUGGUUAUCUUUCAUUUGCCAGAGGAUCUCUUAAACUUCCUUGUUACUUGUGUUAUGGCAGUGUCUGGCCCAGUUAUGGUUUCCAGAUAUGCUCAAUAGCUUUGACAUCUAAUGGCAAAACCUGAUGGCUUUUUUGUGUUGCUAAUUGCCAGAAGACCAGGAGAACUUGCUACUCUGGUGAGUAAACAUUUGAUAAUUUAACAUGUAAUAUAAUUUUUUUAAACCGUUAUACACAUAUAAUAUCAAAGUAAUGUUUAUUUAUAAUAAAUCUAUAAUUGUAAGUUUGCUGACAUAGUGCUAGAGUUUAGCUCCAACCACCUGAUCCAGCUAUUCAAGGUCUUCAGGAUUACUAGAAAUUUCCAAGCAGGUGUAAGUUGGAUCUAAACUGCAGAGCUGCGGCCCUAUAGGAAUUGAGUUUGACACCACUGUAUUGUGACUGUUCUUUUUUUCUUCUUCUUUCCUUCUUAAAUUACAGCCAAGAAAUGCUAGUGCAGAGAUUUAAAAGUUCAUAAAAAGAUGGCUGCUGCCCACUUUGGACAGAGAUGCAGGGAGAAAAGAGUGGAUCCGAAUGCAACCAAAUUCUUCCAAAGCAUGUCCCCCUUUUAGGGUACGCUUACUGGAGGAAGCUCCUGGAUAAAAAAAAAAGAAGAAAUUCUCAUUGUGUCAUUUAUACAGGGGGAAAGGAAUCACAUAUUGAUGUUAUGGGGUAAUGCAUGGGGUCAGUGGGGAUGUCAUGAAAAGAAAUGGUUUAAGGGCAAAAGACUUGUAAAAGUGUGCUGGUAUCGGCCCAGUUUCAGUGUGUUUCAUUUCUUGUUGGUGUGAUUGUGGCCUAAUGCCGGUGGUGUUGACUCAGUUUUAGUACUGAGACCAAUACCGGCUAAGUAUUUCAAUUCUUGUCGACAUGAUUGUGGCCCAUUGCCCGGCAGUUUUGGCAGCCGGACUCAGGCCAGUGUAUUUUUUGGCCGAUUCAGGGGCGUCAUUCAUCCCAUGUCAAGUCUGGGAUCUGCAGCCGAGUGAGUUAUUUCUUUAAUAAAGGAAAAAUAAGUCAAGUCAGGCCAUGCUUAGGCUACACAAUCAUGGGGAAGACUGCUGAUCUGACAGUUGUCCACAAGACAAUCAUUGACACCCUUCACAAGGAGGCCACAAACAUUCAUUGCCAAAGAAGCUGUUCACAGAGUGCUGUAUCCAAGCAUGUUAACAGAAAGUUGAGUGGAAGGAAAAAGUGUGGAAGAAAAAGGUGUAAAAUCAACCCAGAGAACCCCAGCCUUAUGAGGAUUGUAAAGCUAAAUAAAUUCAAUAAUUUAAGUGAACUUCACAAGGAAUGGACUGAGGCUGGAGUCAAGGCAUACACAUGUCAAGGAAUUUGGCUACAGUUGCUGUAUUCCUCUUGCUAAGGCACUCCUGAACCACAGACAACAUCAGAGGCAUCUUACCUGGGCUAAGGAGAAGAAGAACUGGACUGUUGCCCAGUGGUCCAAAGUCCUCUUUUCAGAUGAGAGCAAUUUUUGUAUUUCAUUUGGAAACCAAGGUCCUAGAGUCUGGAGGAAAACCAAAGUCACCCAUUUACCAAGCACCUCAUGCUUCCUUCUGCUGACCAGCUUUUUGAAGAUGCAGAUGUCAUUUUUCACAUGCCCACAUUGCCAAAAGCACCAAAAGUUGGUAAAAUGACCAUGGUGUUGGUGUGUUUGACUGGCCAGCAAACUCACCAGUUUUUUUUACUGUAGUGAUUAUAACCGCUGUUUAUAUACCACCCGAUGCCAAUAAAAACAAUGCUCUUGCUCUCCUACUAAAUGCCAUAGACAAACUAUAGAGUAUGCACCCUAAUGGUGUUCACAUUAUAGCUGGAGAUUUCAACAAAGCAAACCAAACUAAACGUUAAGUGCCCAACUAGGGGUGAAAAUACACUUGUAUACCAACAUACCAACAUGCCUACAUGGCUGUUCCUCUUGCUCACCAGCCAGGUCUUCACUUGAAUCUUAAUCUUACUGUUACACAGUUUUUUUUAUCUCUCUCUCCCCCUUUGGGUAGACCUAGUGCAAUAUACACUUGUGUGCAAUAUAACUCUCAACUUGCUUGUUGAAGGUUAGUCUCAGGUAACUCAAACUCUUUAUUGUGCAAGUACGUAACAUUGUUAAAUUGUGACUUGUGCAUUUGUUAAAUGUGCUCUCUGUGAUAUAUAAAUUUAUAUGUUUGUAUAAUGAUAAUAAACGCAUUCAUUCAUU
Carassius gibelio (silver crucian carp) is the source of this 2829-nucleotide long non-coding RNA. RefSeq lists it as uncharacterized. Lineage: Eukaryota; Metazoa; Chordata; Actinopteri; Cypriniformes; Cyprinidae. The record is from RefSeq and is a predicted model, not a curated record. The transcript is spliced from 2 exons.